GAGAGUAGGAUCGAUGACUGGGACGAAGUCGUAACAAGGUAGCUGUACCGGAAGGUGCGGCUGGAUCACCUCCUUUCUAAGGAGCA
This 86-nucleotide ribosomal RNA is filed under the name Chloroflexota bacterium. RNAcentral's name for it is "partial 16S ribosomal RNA". The stretch from base 1 to 76 matches the Rfam family "Bacterial small subunit ribosomal RNA", at positions 1458 to 1533 of the family's 1533-position model. Lineage: Bacteria; Bacillati; Chloroflexota. The record is from RNAcentral.